AUUGAACGCUGGCGGCAUGCCUUACACAUGCAAGUCGAACGGCAGCACGGGUGCUUGCACCUGGUGGCGAGUGGCGAACGGGUGAGUAAUACAUCGGAACAUGUCCUGUAGUGGGGGAUAGCCCGGCGAAAGCCGGAUUAAUACCUCAUACGAUCUACGGUUGAUAGCGGGGGACCUUCGUGCCUCGCGCUAUAGGGUUGGCCGAUGGCUGAUUAGCUAGUUGGUGGGGUAAAGGCCUACCAAGGCGACGAUCAGUAGCUGGUCUGAGAGGACGAGCAGCAACACUGGGACGGAGCCACGGCCCAGACUCCUACGGGAGGCAGCAGUGGGGAAUUUUGGACAAUGGGAGAAAGCCUGAUCCAGCAAUGCCGCGUGUGUGAAGAAGGCAUUCGGGUUGUAAAGCACUUUUGUCCGGAAAGAAAUCCUUGGCCCUAAUACGGUCGGGGGAUGACGGUACCGGAAGAAUAAGCACCGGCUAACUACGUG
RNAcentral lists this ribosomal RNA (486 nucleotides) under uncultured bacterium. Its description in RNAcentral is "partial 16S ribosomal RNA". It matches the Rfam family "Bacterial small subunit ribosomal RNA", at positions 30 to 507 of the family's 1533-position model. The record is from RNAcentral.